GCCCGGCCCUAAAUCUUGAUGCUUUUCCCCACUAGAGCAUCCGCCUGAGGACUACGAGCACAAACGCUUAAAACUCUAAGGACUUGGCGGUGCCUCAAACCCACCUAGAGGAGCCUGUCCUGUAAUCGACAACCCACGAUACACCCAACCACUUUUUGCCAAAACAGCCUACAUACCGCCGUCGCCAGCUCACCUCUCCUGAGAGCACAACAGUGAGCAUAAUCGCCCUAACCCGCUAGUAAGACAGGUCAAGGUAUAGCCUAUAAAGUGGGAGAGAUGGGCUACAUUUUCUAAUUUAGAAAAUCUUAACGGAAAGGAGCAUGAAACAGCUCCUAGAAGGCGGAUUUAGCAGUAAAGCAGGAUAAUAAUGCCCUCUUUAAACUGGCUCUGAGGCAC
This 396-nucleotide ribosomal RNA is filed under the name Pezophaps solitaria. Its description in RNAcentral is "partial 12S ribosomal RNA". It matches the Rfam family "Bacterial small subunit ribosomal RNA", at positions 794 to 1382 of the family's 1533-position model. Lineage: Eukaryota; Metazoa; Chordata; Aves; Columbiformes; Raphidae. The record is from RNAcentral.